GAUGAACGCUGGCGGCGUGCCUAAUACAUGCAAGUCGAGCGAACGGACGAGAAGCUUGCUUCUCUGAUGUUAGCGGCGGACGGGUGAGUAACACGUGGAUAACCUACCUAUAAGACUGGGAUAACUUCGGGAAACCGGAGCUAAUACCGGAUGAUAUUUUGAACCGCAUGGUUCAAGAGUGAAAGACGGUCUUGCUGUCACUUAUAGAUGGAUCCGCGCUGCAUUAGCUGGUUGGUAAGGUAACGGCUUACCAAGGCAACGAUGCAUAGCCGAACUGAGAGGGUGAUCGGCCACACUGGAACUGAGACACGGUCCAGACUCCUACGGGAGGCAGCAGUAGGGAACCUUACGCAAUGGUCGAAAGCCUGACGGAGCAACGCCGCGUGAGUGAUGAAGGUCUUCGGAUCGUAAAACUCUGUUAUUAGGGAAGAACAUAUGUGUAAGUAACUGUGCACAUCUUGACGGUACCUAAUCAGAAAGCCACGGCUAACUACGUG
This 497-nucleotide ribosomal RNA is filed under the name uncultured bacterium. RNAcentral's name for it is "partial 16S ribosomal RNA". It matches the Rfam family "Bacterial small subunit ribosomal RNA", at positions 28 to 507 of the family's 1533-position model. The record is from RNAcentral.